Panthera uncia (snow leopard) is the source of this 1287-nucleotide long non-coding RNA. RefSeq lists it as uncharacterized. NCBI's taxonomy places the organism in Eukaryota, Metazoa, Chordata, Mammalia, Carnivora, Felidae. The transcript is spliced from 2 exons. The record is from RefSeq and is a predicted model, not a curated record.
GAGCCUGGUUGGGGGACAGAGAGAGAGCAGGGGAGAAAGCUGGCCUUUGCAGCCACCCAGGCAGGCUCUUGCCCUGGCUGAGGUCUGGACUGGGCACUGGGAGAGAGAGGAGAAAUGAUCCCUGUUGUCCCCCCCACCUACACACACCAAAGGAAAUUGUAACCUAAUGAGGGGAGGGAGUGGAACACACUUAGGCACACAUUAGGUGUAAGAAAGAGCAUCAAUCUUCCUGCCCAUCUUUUCAUUCACCAAAUAAUGAUUCCAUCCUACCACCAAUCCAUUCGUUCUCCAUUCCCCUAUUUGGCCUCUCACCUGUGAGCUAACUCAUCUAUCUCUCAAUCGACCUGUGAGGUAUAAACCCAUUCACCAAUCCAUCCAACCCAUUCAUCCACCAACCCAUCCAGACAUAAUCCAUCAUCCACCUAUCCACCAUCUGUUCAUUGACCAGCCACUUAUCCAGCCACCACCCUAUUCAUCUACAAAUCCGUCCACCAGCACAUGCAUCCAACCAACCACUCGCUUACCCAUGUGAGCAUCCACCCCCCUCUACAACCCGUGUAUCCAUUCACCAACACACCCAUCCAUCCACACAUUCACUCAUUCACUUAGUGGCUCAACCAUUGGGCAACCAUUGACCCUAUGCUUCUUGAACUGUGGUAGGUAUGGAAGAUGCGGCGGUGAGCAAGGCCUAGCUCUUCCAGUAAGGAGCUCACGGUCUGGUUGAGGAGAGAGACCUCUCAGCAAUGAACUACAAUAGUGCCGGAACAGUCUGAUGACAGAGGGACCUGGCAGCAGAGAGGCAACCACCGAAUUGAGCCUGUGCAGGCCCUUACCGUCCUCAGGGCGCAGCUGCAGGGGCGUGGAGCUGGGCUGAGUCAUGGUGAAGAGCGUGUCGGAGAUGUCGGACAAAAAGCAGUCCAGGUCCAGAAGCUGCCGCCCGCCAGGCUCCUCCUCUGGGCCCCCGAGCAGCACGGGCACCACGCUGGAGAAGAGCUGCUCGCACCAUCGCUCCGGUGGUUGCCAACCCCCUUCCACCUAGGGAGACAGAACCUUCAGCAGCCACGAGAGAGGGACACCGGGGUCUCCCGCUGCCCUUGGCCCUUUCAUAUGGCCCCCGCCUGGGGGAUGAAGCGGUCAGUACAUGGCCCUCCUCACCUCUCUCUCUGGAGGACCCAGUUUGCCUACUGGAAGGCUUAUGGUCACCCCAUUGGCCUUUAACAACUGUCCCCACGAGCUAGAGCUGGAUGGCCUGCUGAACAGAUAAGGGGCCUCUUCCUGUCCCCUCUA